Molecule: ribosomal RNA, 307 nt
Filed under: Neisseria sp. HMSC066B07
Lineage: Bacteria; Pseudomonadati; Pseudomonadota; Betaproteobacteria; Neisseriales; Neisseriaceae
Description: bacterial SSU rRNA
Rfam family: Bacterial small subunit ribosomal RNA
Source: RNAcentral
AAACUCAAAGGAAUUGACGGGGACCCGCACAAGCGGUGGAUGAUGUGGAUUAAUUCGAUGCAACGCGAAGAACCUUACCUGGUCUUGACAUGUACGGAAUCCUCCAGAGACGGAGGAGUGCCUUCGGGAGCCGUAACACAGGUGCUGCAUGGCUGUCGUCAGCUCGUGUCGUGAGAUGUUGGGUUAAGUCCCGCAACGAGCGCAACCCUUGUCAUUAGUUGCCAUCAUUAAGUUGGGCACUCUAAUGAGACUGCCGGUGACAAGCCGGAGGAAGGUGGGGAUGACGUCAAGUCCUCAUGGCCCUUAU